GCUUUAUUUUUGGACUUGAGUGCGGUAAUUGAAGAUUUCUGCUUCUGGCUAUGAUGGAUUAGUUUGCAGCUGACCAAACUGAAAGCCAAGAACACAAGAAAUGGUAAAUACAAUGAGAACACAUUUUCGAAGUUACCAGAGAGUUAUCAAGGCAGUUAGAACGUGUACAGCCAAGAACCUGGAGAGAAAGAAAACACAUUGGAGGACAAGCGAGGACCUAAGUAAGACACGUACCUGGUGCGUUUUAUGAAAUGCCACAAACGUGACUCGGAACCAAAGCGGAUCGAUCGCCUUACGUGUGUGCAGAUGGCAGUGGAAUUCUAGUCAUGAACCUUCUGGCCUCCUUGGGAAAGAGCCUGAGCUGGCCCGCUGGGGUAUGAGAGGGAGAAGCGUAGCCAGACCACCCGUGGGAGGAGAGAUGCCUCGCUGACCCACAGGUGCUCUACACAGAAGAGAGAGGCCAUCUGAGACCAGAGAGCUGCCCAGCUGGCCUGUAGACUAGGUGCAGAGCACUAUUUGCUUUUCUGCGCUCCAUACCCGUCACCGUCAAGG
This is a long non-coding RNA of Neofelis nebulosa (Clouded leopard), 552 nucleotides long. RefSeq lists it as uncharacterized. The transcript has 4 exons. The record is from RefSeq and is a predicted model, not a curated record. NCBI's taxonomy places the organism in Eukaryota, Metazoa, Chordata, Mammalia, Carnivora, Felidae.